AACCAGAGCAUUGUGCACAUUGCACUCCAAAGAAAACCCACACAAAACAAAAACCCCAAAAAAAACUAAUCCUUCUUCUUGUCUUUCAACGGUCCUCUUGGGAUUUUGCUGAAUACCUUUGCGUCCAACACAGCGUAUUGCUUCUUCAACUCAGCCAUUGCUUUCUCACCGUAUGAGUCUACUUUGUCUUCGUACUUGUCGUAGA
RNAcentral lists this small RNA (205 nucleotides) under Arabidopsis thaliana (thale cress). RNAcentral describes it as "ATSL214610". The record is from RNAcentral. Lineage: Eukaryota; Viridiplantae; Streptophyta; Magnoliopsida; Brassicales; Brassicaceae.